This is a long non-coding RNA of Mauremys mutica (yellowpond turtle), 732 nucleotides long. RefSeq lists it as uncharacterized. The record is from RefSeq and is a predicted model, not a curated record. NCBI's taxonomy places the organism in Eukaryota, Metazoa, Chordata, Testudines, Geoemydidae. The transcript is spliced from 4 exons.
GGAGAGGAAGUGUGUGCGAGGAACUGGGAGCAAGAGGUGUGUAAGAAGCUGAGCGUGAGUAGGCAUAUUGCUGGAGGACUAAGAAGUACAAGCAUUAUCAGACAUCAGGAAGAAGGUCUGGUGGUCAGAUACUAACCCUUCAUUGCUUGAGUCUCUACCUGCUGUAGAAAGAACCUUUGUUUGAAAAGUGGUAAUGUAUACCGGAUGGGGAAUAUACUUGCCUGCUUCAUCUAAUUCCUCAACAAAGAUUCUUCUUCUGACCAUAGCUCUGCUUAUCUUUUGAAUGAUGGUCGAUUAUUCUGACAUUUCUCAAGCUCACCCAGGACAAAAUGUUUGUUUCCAAAGAUUUUCACAGAAAGCAGAAGUCUCACAAAUACACAGCCAGAUGCGUGUCUAUGCUGGAAGGGUUAUCAUGGCCAUUUUGAUAACAAUCUCUUCGAUUUCCAUCCUCUUGGAAAUAAGUCAACUUGAGAAGUGGCUACAACAUCGUGUGACUGUAGAGAGCAGACACCAAAGCCUGUCAGUGUUCUGCUGAAGGUAUAAAACACAUUUCCAAAAAUGCCUUCUCUUAACACUUGUGCUCUUGAAGAUGAUUUGCAAAGAAUUUUUGAAACAUUUUGGCUUUUGCUUUUGGGCUCUUUUUUGCUGCUUUGUAAAGGAGGACUGAAAGGGUGGUUUUGGGGUAUGGUGAAGUGGAACUGUUCUCUUAUUUCUUAGCUUAAAAUAUCGGGA